This is a non-coding RNA of Plasmodium vivax (malaria parasite P. vivax), 73 nucleotides long. Lineage: Eukaryota; Apicomplexa; Aconoidasida; Haemosporida; Plasmodiidae. The record is from the annotation of a RefSeq genome assembly.
UUCCGCACAGCUGCCAUCGGAGGAGUCCCAAUCGUGUGGGUCUUCCACCUGGGCUACUUCGUCAUCCUCCUCU